ACUCUUCUCUCUCCUGCUGCCAUGUGAGAAGGUCCAAGCUUACUUUCCCUUUGCCUUCCAACAUGAUGGUCCUGCUGAGGAUCCCUGGUGCCCAGUAGGGAACACCGUGAGGAGGAGGAUUAAGAAAGGCACCCUUUCCACUGAUUUGCAUCGCCAUUUGUACAUGGAGUUUGGCUACAGCAAAAUCCGUUGCUAUCUCACCAGCUACAAGAAGCAAAGAACGAAUUGCAAUUCAUUUUUGUGCUCUAGGACCCGGUUGAGGUCUCCUUGCUGACAAAAAAGGAAAUGACUUCUGAAGACAUGAAAAAAAAAAAACAGGGUGAAGACAAAUUGGGUUAGAAUAACCCAUGACCUAGAUCAUUAGACUUUGACUAAUGAAGAACUGCCUUUUAACAGAGUUAAAAUUGACAGCACCAUGGCCUCACACCCAACAGGGUUUGAGGCUGGACCCUUCUUUGACAAACGAUGCCCUGAUUUACGCGCAAAAAUACCCAUCACAGCAUUAUUUAUAAUAUUCCCUGUCCAAUGCUGGGGACCUAGUUCAAUUAGCUAUAGAACAGCCAUUUGAUGAAAUAUUAUAAAGCUAUUAAAAUAAUAGGGGCAAAGAAAUUUUAAAACAUGGGGAAAGCCUUGAUGUUGUAAUAUUAAAUGAAUGAAGGAAUUCUAUGAAUGAAACUCAUUAAAACAUGUCUUCACAGUAGCUGCAUUGAUUGCACAUUUACUAUCGUUCAGGCAUCUUUUCCAAAUGUGAUACAGGAGGGCAAGCUUGGAAACAAGACGGGAACCUCUUGAUCCAUGGCACAAUGCUGUCGACCCCUAAGUUCUUCCUCUUUAUCUAAACCCAGGUUUGGAAGUACACCAAAAUAUUAAUACUAUACAUCAUUGCAAGCUUUCCUUCUUUGAUCCUCUGUAUUUUGUAAAUGUUCCAACACCUUUUAAAAUACACUUUUGUUCUCCUUUAAAGUCUCCCUGAGAGCUUCUAGAAGGCAGCUGCUGUGGGCUCACAUCAUCCAUCCUUCCCCCCGCAAAUGUGUAAAUAAAGAAACACCUCUGUGCCUUUAAAUUAUAACAGGCUAAACUUUCCCCUGUAAGUUGAUACUCAGACCAGAAGUCUGUGGGUAGGAAGAGUGUUGUGUUUUUUUGUUGCAGCUUCUUUUGGCUGAUAAACUAGCACUUAAGUGUUUCCCUUUUCCAAACCCCCAAAUGACAAGUAUCUUUGUGGUAAAGUGAUGGCCCAACUGUCAUGGCCAUCAUAAACGGUGCUGAGGACACUUAUUUUUAGUUUACUGUCUAAGGAAGCACUAGGCUUGCUAACCAGAGACCUUGGGGCCCAAACCCCU
RNAcentral lists this long non-coding RNA (1340 nucleotides) under Homo sapiens (human). Its description in RNAcentral is "non-protein coding lnc-APIP-1:9". The record is from RNAcentral. Lineage: Eukaryota; Metazoa; Chordata; Mammalia; Primates; Hominidae.